UCAGGCUUUUCUGAUUACCUUAACAAGAGCACAGAACCAGACCACAUCCUUGAGGAUUGGGGAGUAUUUUCCCCCAGUCAGGAGGAGUUUUCCUACCGUCAAUCAUCCUAAAAGAGGAAGGAAUGAUACAAGCGAGAGGAGUUCCUCCUCCCCAGAGCCUGGAGAAGAGUGUGAGCGUGCGGUAAGGAGCGGGCAGUUGGGGAGCCGCAGAGGUGGGCAAUGCAGGAGCACCAGGCGGAGAAGCUGUCUUGUCAGGAAGGCAGAAGCAGCCUGAGGAUCAAACGAAGAUGACUGAGCAGAAGAAACUGAGGAGUCUGUGCCUGAACAGUCACCUCUGAAAUCUAUCCACCAUUCUCUUAGGAAGUGCAAACCAGCCAUGUGAAAAUAUCACAUAGAGGUCCUGAGCAUCCAUGAGCAGCAACCACUAGACUUGUGAGUGGAUGAGCCUUCAGAUGAGCACAGACCCAGCCUUGAAGUCUUCCAGCUGAGGCCUCAGACAUCAUGGAGGAGAGACAAGCCAUCCACAUCUGAAUGCCUGACCCACAAAUCCAUGAGCAGAAUAAAUGGUUGUUUUGAUAUAAUUUGUAACAAAGAUAUAGUAACUGGAACACUCAAUUUCCUCAUCUGGAAAAAUAGAAUAAGAACAGUAUUUGGAGGGUUGUUUUGAGGAUUAAAUGAGGCAUGUAAAGCAUUUGGUAUAGUGGCAGGCACACUGCAGAUAACAAAUAAAUGGAAAUUACUACGACCAUGUUAACAGACUGUCGUCUCUGCUAUAGCCCAACAUCAGUUUGCCUCCUCUUUCCAACUCCCUGGUAGAAAAGUCAAGCCCCAUUCUGAAGCUGCACCCCUAGAAAUAUUCCAGAACUAAAGCAGCCUCUCAUUUAUGUGGAGCUAGACUAGCUAGCAGUCUAUAUCCCUAAUCCCUUCCAGUAAACUUGAACUCUGAAGGUAGGAAUUAACAGAGAUGAAGGGAGUGGAGGGAACAGUCAAGAGUGGACAAAGUAGACAAAAACUCCUUUGCGAUGAACCUGCUCUCUAAGUUUCUUCUGUUGCCACUUAGGGAA
Molecule: long non-coding RNA, 1064 nt
Filed under: Equus asinus (donkey)
Lineage: Eukaryota; Metazoa; Chordata; Mammalia; Perissodactyla; Equidae
Description: lncRNA (ENSEASG00005033002.1)
Source: RNAcentral